This 2464-nucleotide long non-coding RNA is filed under the name Sorghum bicolor (sorghum). RNAcentral's name for it is "long non-coding RNA (SBIC_LNC009153)". Lineage: Eukaryota; Viridiplantae; Streptophyta; Magnoliopsida; Poales; Poaceae. The record is from RNAcentral.
GUGUCUAGUGGUUCGCUCUUGUGUUAGUAAGUGUACAAAAAAGAAUUUUUUUCUGGACAGAUUCUUUCCCCUUAUUUCUCGAUCGGACCUCAAUUCCUUUUUUUCUGUUCGCAAUGAUUGGUUAGUUGCUAAUUUUGGUGCUGUCUGGCGCCUUACUAACCCGAUCAUCGGCGGGCUACUAAUUCUUCAAUGCGAAGCUUCUGAAAAUACUAGGGGUUCGCCCAAUAGCCCUUAAUGGCCCAAGUGGAGUCCGCACCUGCCCCCACCUUCAUGGAUCCACAUGUAAGCCUGUGCAAUUGUUCCUUUCGAUGUCCUUUUAUCUACUAGUUUUGUGGUCUAGGAAUUUGGGGUUGAUUACAUGCUUUCAAAUUUAUAACUGCCUCAACAUCACACUUAGGUGGUCAUGAUGAUUACAGAAAGCCCCCUGCAAUUGUGAUUACAAUGUUCAAUAAAUUAAAGCAAAAUGUGAAGCCACCAUACAAAGGACGCAGAAUAGAUUUAGUGAAAUUUGAGAUUUUUCGUCUUGUGACACUAACACCACUUGUAUUUCUCUUUUAGGUUAGUAUUUAUCUCUGUACUUUUGUUUGUUUCCCUUAUGUCAUGAGCAUUUGUAGUUUUUGGUUCAUUUGCCACUUGUAUAGGCUUGGGGCCUGUAUCUUAAAAAUGAACAAUGCUCCCGACAGAUCCAAAAUCCAACUGAAGUGCCUCCUCUCUACUAUAACCUUUGUAACAAGGCUCUAGAUUUGGUGGAGCUCUAUGGAGACUGGGUUUCUAGCUCUAAUGACUUGAAUCAAAUGACUUGGUGCUUCUCUCAAGGGGAGGGCUCAGUUUAUAUAGGCCAGUGGAGUAAACCACAACCCUUGGAUCAAACCAACUUAAAUAGAUGGAGAAGAUCAAUCCUUGGAGGCGGUGGAGGAUCAUGGCAAAAGGGUGCUAAUAGGUGGACCCCACCUAGGGCACCCACCCUAGGGACUAGGGCGGUUGACCUAGCUCUAUUCCAAGUGGGCCCCAUCUUUGCCAACGUGUCUUCUAGAUUCUUCUCCAUUUGGUUUUGCCAAAAAAUAUACUUUUUAGCUUGAUAUUCUUCAAAUCUCCUAUGUAAUUCCUAAUACACCCUAGCAGAACACAGAUUCUACAAAAUUGUGGAAUUCUGUUAGAUAACCCCCCUAUACUACAUUGAUAUUAUGUUGUAUUGAUCCUUUUUAUGAUUAGUUGAUGGGUUGCUUUAUGGUAGUUAAGGACUGUCAACAUAGAUGAGCACGAUGACCACCUGAUACCACCUAACAGUGGCACCAAGAGGGCCAGCAGCACGAGCACCACAACGUCCAACCCCAGCAAGAGAUCUAAGAGCCCAGAACUUUUUAUUUAUAACAGUCAAAUUUUUCAACAUAUACAUGAAGCAUUAAAUGUAGCUAAAAGCCUAAUUGUACAAUUUAAUUAUAAAUCUUGAGAUGAAUCCUUUAAAUAUCUAAGAUUAGCAAUAAUUGCUACAAUAAUCAGUAUAUACUAAUGAUGAAUUAAGUAGACUUAAAAAUUCCGUCUUGCGGUUUCCAGACGACGAGCUAUGUAAUUUGUUUUUCGUUUAUGUUUAAUACUUUAAAUGUGUGCCGACAUAUCCGAUGUGAUACUCAAAAUAUUUCUUUUCACGAAUUAAGGCAGGUUUAGUUCAUGACUGGAUUACAUAUAUAAAUUAUUAAAUAUAGAUAAAAAAUAAUUAAUUAUAUAGUUUGUAUAUAAUUUAUAAGUUUUUAAGUUUAAUUAGUCAAUAAUUGAACAUUAAUUAUCAAAUAAUAUGAAAAUGCUAACCCAAACAAAAGUUUUCGUAAACUAAAUAAUUAUAAAAGGGCCAAGAUCCCAAGACAUACAGACGUGCUGCUGCCUCCGACUCACGAAAAACCCAUCGACCAUCGCUCCUCAACGGGCACGGCCGCACGGGCGCCGCCCACCGGCCGCUCCUCGCCUCCUUCGCCCACUGCCGCCGCCGCAGCCCGAAGCGCCCCUCCCCUAAUCUCGUCUCUAGUGGUGGGGGAUGGGCGAGGCCUAAUUCCCUCUUAUGUUAGUAAGUGUACAAAGAAGAAUUUUUUUCUGGACAAAUUCUUUCCCCUUAUUUCUCGAUCGGACCCCAAUUCCUUUUUUUUUCUGUUCGCAAUGAUUGGUUAGUUGCUAAUUUUGGUGCUGUCUGGCGCCUUACUAACCCGAUCAUCGGCGGGCUACUAAUUCUUCAGUGGGGAGCUUCUGAAAAUACUAGGGGUUCGCCCAAUAGCCCUUAAUGGCCCAAGUGGAGUCCCCACCUGCCCCCACCUUCAUGGAUCCACAUGUAAGCCUGCGCAAUUGUUCCUUUCAAUGUCCUUUUAUCUACUAGUUUCGUGGUCUAGGAAUUUGGGGUUGAUUACAAGCUUUCAAAAUUAUAACUGCCUCAACAUCACACUUAGGUGGUCAUGAUGAUUACAGAAAGCCCCCUGCA